This 506-nucleotide ribosomal RNA is filed under the name uncultured Actinomycetales bacterium. RNAcentral's name for it is "partial 16S ribosomal RNA". Lineage: Bacteria; Bacillati; Actinomycetota; Actinomycetes; Actinomycetales. The record is from RNAcentral.
CACGUAGUUAGCCGGCGCUUCUUAUGCAGGUACCCUCAACCAGGCCAAAACCUGGACUUGUUCCCUGCCGAAAGAGGUUUACAACCCGAAAGCCGUCAUCCCUCACGCGGCGUCGCUGCAUCAAGCUUUCGCUCAUUGUGCAAUAUUCCCCACUGCUGCCUCCCGUAGGAGUCUGGGCCGUAUCUCAGUCCCAGUGUGGCCGGUCACCCUCUCAGGCCGGCUACCCGUCGACGCCUUGGUAGGCCAUCACCCCACCAACAAGCUGAUAGGCCGCGAGCCCAUCCCCUCCCAAUAAAUCUUUCCAACAACCACCAUGCGGCAGCCGCUGAAUAUCCGGUAUUAGACCCAGUUUCCCAAGCUUAUCCCGAAGAAAGGGGCAGGUUACUCACGUGUUACUCACCCGUUCGCCACUAACUCCACCCCCAGCAAGCUGGAGACUUCAUCGUUCGACUUGCAUGUGUUAAGCACGCCGCCAGCGUUCGUCCUGAGCCAGGAGUCAAACUACU